UUCCGUCUUUGGCUUUGGUAGGGCGCCGAGGAGAGGGCGUGUGGGAGGCGGGACUCGAGGCCGGCCUGGCGGCUGGGCGUGGCUAUGUAAAGGAGCUGCGCGUUGGACGCUGGGUUGGGCCGCUGCGGCUUCCCUUAAGGUGGGCGGCUGGGAUUCCCGGCCGUGAGGCUGCGGGAAAGCUGGGAGGAGGAGGAGGAUCCGGGAAACCUCCUAGGACCAGAGGAGACUUCCAGAAGGCUGAAACCCAACUCCCCACAGUCCUCGCCCAUGACAAAACCCAAAGGCCGGCCUCCGACAACAAUCGUCCUGCUUCAGCCUCCCAAGUGCUAGGAUUACAGCAGAUGGAUCAGGCAUUACAAAUGAGUGAACAGCGACACAUUGGACUUGCCGGUUAUAUUGGAAAAGUAGACAACCAUUUCCCUAAUUCUAAACUUUCACAGUUCCUAAAACGGCAUGACUGGAUUUUACCUCAAAUUGUGCGCUCUGAACCUACACCAGCAGCAGACACAUAUUCCACUGAUGGUGGCAGCAAUGGGAAAGCCGGAUAUGUAGAAAGAAUUUCAAAAGUAUGGCAUGCUCCUUUUCAUUCUGCACAAAGAGCAGAACUCCAGGCAGUGACCCAACUCUUACUAGAUGUUCCAGAAUCCAUUAGUAUUGUUACAGACUCCCAGGAUGUGUGGUUCACAGUUGAUCAUACACGAACAGCUACUUUGUCAAAUGAUACUGAACUUAAUCAAUUGUUCUGCCAAUUAUAAAUUAAUAUUCGUCAUAGAGAUUUUCCUAUUUACAUAACUCAUAUUCGUUCUCAUUCACCCCUUCCUGGUGACAUGGUUAAAUAGAAUGAUGAAGCUGAUAAACUUGUUGCUAUUUCUUCACCAGAUUGUUUAGCCACUGGAUUUCAUGCUUUAACUCACGUGAAUACCAAAGGUUUACGUUAAAAAAUUUCCUCAACUUUCCAUUCAACAAGCUUGCAAGGGGCUGGGGACUUAGCUCAGUGGCACAGCGCC
Long non-coding RNA from Chinchilla lanigera (long-tailed chinchilla), 1007 nucleotides. RefSeq lists it as uncharacterized. The transcript has 3 exons. NCBI's taxonomy places the organism in Eukaryota, Metazoa, Chordata, Mammalia, Rodentia, Chinchillidae. The record is from RefSeq and is a predicted model, not a curated record.